This 253-nucleotide ribosomal RNA is filed under the name uncultured bacterium. RNAcentral describes it as "partial 16S ribosomal RNA". It matches the Rfam family "Bacterial small subunit ribosomal RNA", at positions 524 to 776 of the family's 1533-position model. The record is from RNAcentral.
UACGUAGGGGGCAAGCGUUGUCCGGAUUUAUUGGGCGUAAAGCGCGCGUAGGCGGCAAGGUGUGUCGUGCGUGAAAUCUCCCGGCUUAACUGGGAGGGGCCGUGCGAAACUGCCUGGCUUGAGGUCGGAAGGGGAAAGUGGAAUUCCGGGUGUAGUGGUGGAAUACGUAGAUAUCCGGAGGAACACCAGCGGCGAAGGCGGCUUUCUGGGCCGAUUCUGACGCUGAGGAGCGAAAGCCAGGGGAGCAAACGGG